CCUACGGGAGGCAGCAGUGGGGAAUAUUGGACAAUGGGCGAAAGCCUGAUCCAGCAAUUCCGCGUGUGUGAAGAAGGCCUUCGGGUUGUAAAGCACUUUAGUUGGGGAAGAAACAGUUUGGCCACACCAAGCCUUGACGGUACCCAAAGAAUAAGCACCGGCUAACUCUGUGCCAGCAGCCGCGGUAAUACAGAGGGUGCAAGCGUUAAUCGGAUUUACUGGGCGUAAAGGGUGCGUAGGUGGUUUUGUAAGUCGGAUGUGAAAGCCUGGGGCUCAACCUCAGAAUUGCACUCGAUACUGCAAGACUAGAGUUCGGUAGAGGGCGGCGGAAUUCCCGGUGUAGCGGUGAAAUGCGUAGAUAUCGGGAGGAACAUCAAUGGCGAAGGCAGCCGCCUGGGCCUGAACUGACACUGAGGCACGAAAGCGUGGGUAGCAAACAGGAUUAGAUACCCUGGUAGUCCACGCUGUAAACGAUGAGAACUUGACGUUGGUUCGUUUUACGAAUCGGUGUCGUCAGCUAACGCGAUAAGUUCUCCGCCUGGGGAGUACGGCCGCAAGGUUGAAACUCAAAGAGAGUAGACGUGAGACGAGCGACGACGACGACGACGGAGGAGGAGG
Molecule: ribosomal RNA, 618 nt
Filed under: uncultured bacterium
Lineage: Bacteria
Description: bacterial SSU rRNA
Rfam family: Bacterial small subunit ribosomal RNA
Source: RNAcentral